RNAcentral lists this ribosomal RNA (476 nucleotides) under Ptyas dhumnades. Its description in RNAcentral is "partial small subunit ribosomal RNA". The stretch from base 1 to 380 matches the Rfam family "Bacterial small subunit ribosomal RNA", at positions 956 to 1533 of the family's 1533-position model. The record is from RNAcentral. Lineage: Eukaryota; Metazoa; Chordata; Lepidosauria; Squamata; Colubridae.
ACCCCACUAUCAACCCAACCCCCCCUAGCCUACAGUCUAUAUACCGCCGUCGCCAGCCUACCUUAUGAAAGAAACAAAGUGAGCUAAAUAGUCAUACACUAACACGACAGGUCGAGGUGUAACUUAUGGGUGGGCCUAAGAUGGGCUACAUUUUCUAACCCAGAAAAUACGAAUAAACCAUGAAAUAAGGAAACUGAAGGCGGAUUUAGCAGUAUACUAAGAACAAAAUACUUAGUCGAAACCAACGCAAUGAGGUGCGUACACACCGCCCGUCAUCCCUGUCAACCAACCAAAAACAUUCAUAAUUAAACACUAACCCAAAACAGGGCAAGUCGUAACAAGGUAAGCGUACUGGAAAGUGCGCUUAGAAACAAAAAGUAGCUUACAAAAAGCAUUCGACCUACAAUCGAACGACAUUAUAUUAAUCUUUUUGAGCUAAAACUUAGACUAACACGAACAUACAAAUUUUAGCCAAA